Molecule: ribosomal RNA, 916 nt
Filed under: uncultured bacterium
Lineage: Bacteria
Description: bacterial SSU rRNA
Rfam family: Bacterial small subunit ribosomal RNA
Source: RNAcentral
GAGUUUGAUCCUGGCUCAGGAUGAACGCUAGCGGCAGGCCUAACACAUGCAAGUCGAACGGUAACAUAAAGUGCUUGCACUUUGAUGACGAGUGGCGCACGGGUGCGUAACGCGUAUAGAACCCACCCUGUACAGGGGGAUAGCCCAGAGAAAUUUGGAUUAAUACCCCGUAGUAACUUGAUAUGGCAUCAUAUUAAGUUUAAAGUUUUCGGAUGGUACAGGAUGGCUAUGCGUCCUAUUAGUUAGAUGGUGAGGUAACGGCUCACCAUGGCAGCGAUAGGUAGGGGCCCUGAGAGGGGGAUCCCCCACACUGGUACUGAGACACGGACCAGACCCCUACGGGAGGCAGCAGUGAGGAAUAUUGGACAAUGGGCUAAAGCCUGAUCCAGCCAUGCCGCGUGCAGGAAGACGGCCCUAUGGGUUGUAAACUGCUUUUAUACGGGAAGAAUAAGGGACACGUGUGUCCUGGUGACGGUACCGUAAGAAUAAGGACCGGCUAACUCCGUGCCAGCAGCCGCGGUAAUACGGAGGGUCCGAGCGUUAUCCGGAAUUAUUGGGUUUAAAGGGUCCGCAGGCGGGCAAUUAAGUCAGGGGUGAAAUGGUGCGGCUCAACCGUAGCACUGCCCUUGAUACUGGUUGUCUUGAGUCAUAGUGAAGUGGCCGGAAUAUGUAGUGUAGCGGUGAGAUGCAUAGAUAUUACAUAGAACACCGAUUGCGAAGGCAGGUCACUAACUAUCGACUGACGCUGAUGGACGAAAGCGUGGGGAGCGAACGGGAUUAGAUACCCCGGUAGUCCACGCCGUAAACGAUGGAUACUAGCUGUCCGGCACCUUGAGUGCUGGGCGGCCAAGCGAAAGUGAUAAGUAUCCCACCUGGGGAGUACGUUCGCAAGAAUGAAACUCAAAGGAAUUGACGG